This 257-nucleotide ribosomal RNA is filed under the name uncultured bacterium. Its description in RNAcentral is "partial 16S ribosomal RNA". It matches the Rfam family "Bacterial small subunit ribosomal RNA", at positions 524 to 777 of the family's 1533-position model. The record is from RNAcentral.
UACGUAGGGAGCAAGCGUUGUCCGGAAUCAUUGGGCGUAAAGCGCGCGUAGGCGGCCCCGUAAGUCCGCUGUGAAAGUCAAAGGCUCAACCUUUGAAAGCCGGUGGAUACUGUGGGGCUAGAGUCCGGAAGAGGCGAGUGGAAUUCCUGGUGUAGCGGUGGGAAAUGCGCAGAUAUCAGGAGGAACACCAAUAGCGAAGGCAGCUCGCUGGGACGGUAACUGACGCUAAGGCGCGAAAGCGUGGGAGCGAACGAGGA